GAUGAACGCUGGCGGCGUGCCUAACACAUGCAAGUCGAACGGAGCUUGAGGGAAGAAGACUUCGGUCAACGGACCAAAAAGCUUAGUGGCGGAUGGGUGAGUAACACGUGAGCAACCUGCCUUGUACAGUGGAAUAACAACGGGAAACCGUUGCUAAUACCGCAUAACAUACCGAAGAGGCAGUCUUAUUGGUAUCAAAGGAGCAAUCCGGUACAAGAUGGGCUCGCGUCCGAUUAGAUAGUUGGAGAGGUAACGGCUCCCCAAGUCGACGGUCGGUAGCCGGACUGAGAGGUUGAACGGCCACAUUGGGACUGAGACACGGCCCAG
This 327-nucleotide ribosomal RNA is filed under the name uncultured bacterium. Its description in RNAcentral is "bacterial SSU rRNA". It matches the Rfam family "Bacterial small subunit ribosomal RNA", at positions 28 to 334 of the family's 1533-position model. The record is from RNAcentral.